Molecule: long non-coding RNA, 710 nt
Filed under: Cyanistes caeruleus (blue tit)
Lineage: Eukaryota; Metazoa; Chordata; Aves; Passeriformes; Paridae
Description: lncRNA (ENSCCEG00000022603.1)
Source: RNAcentral
GUGAAAGCAUUGGAAGGAAAAAUGGAUUUAGUAUCGUUUCAUAUGGAAGCAAUGAUCUUCAACUUCUGUGAUGCAUUUUCAGCUCUGUGGGAUCACUUUUCUAAGGGGUGCCUUCUGCUUUCCCAUGUCAAACUUUUAUGAAGUGUGUUUGAUGAAAUCAGUGACAUUGGUUACAUUCAAGAUCAUCAAAUUCCUUGGUAGACACUGAGUAUUCACCGAUGUAAAGUGAAGCAAACACUGGAUACUGAUGUGAUCUAUCAUUCAUCAGCAUUGUAUCUAUGUACUAAAAUCAUGGCUUUAUAUGCGCUGUUUGUCUUGCUUCUCAUGGUUAUAAAAGAAAAGGAACACAAUUCUGAAGAUAAAGGUUUCUAAGACCAGUGAAUAUACUCAGUGAAGAGUAUAAAGUAUUGAAAGAAAAUUUUUUUUCUGACAUGGAAGUGACAGGAAAAGGGUGAGGUUCUGAGGGCAUUAGCUUAAUUCUGGAGUAACACGCUCUGAAUAAGAGGCAAUUAGAUAUGAAAACUUUCCUUAAGCUGUGUAUUUGGGAAAAAAAGAAACAAUAUGAUUAUUCAAAAAUUACCUACAGACUUACAACUUUGAAUAUAUUCAUUGUAACAGACAAAUUUUUGCAAUUAACAAUUAAGUGAAAAAAAGUUAUAUUAUAAUAGAUAAAAUUAAUCUUGGUCUAAAAUUUAAAAAGGUUGCUUCAU